RNAcentral lists this ribosomal RNA (488 nucleotides) under uncultured bacterium. RNAcentral describes it as "bacterial SSU rRNA". It matches the Rfam family "Bacterial small subunit ribosomal RNA", at positions 1 to 458 of the family's 1533-position model. The record is from RNAcentral.
CCCUUAGAGUUUGAUCCUGGCUCAGGACGAACGCUGGCGGCGUGCCUAAUACAUGCAAGUCGAGCGAGCUUGCCUAGAUGAAUUUGGUGCUUGCACCAAAUGAAACUAGAUACAAGCGAGCGGCGGACGGGUGAGUAACACGUGGGUAACCUGCCCAAGAGACCGGGAUAACACCUGGAAACAGAUGCUAAUACCGGAUAACAACACUAGACGCAUGUCUAGAGUUUAAAAGAUGGUUCUGCUAUCACUCUUGGAUGGACCUGCGGUGCAUUAGCUAGUUGGUAAGGUAACGGCUUACCAAGGCAAUGGUGCAUAGCCGAGUUGAGAGACUGAUCGGCCACAUUGGGACUGAGACACGGCCCAAACUCCUACGGGAGGCAGCAGUAGGGAAUCUUCCACAAUGGACGCAAGUCUGAUGGAGCAACGCCGCGUGAGUGAAGAAGGGUUUCGGCUCGUAAAGCUCUGUUGGUAGUGAAGAAAGAUAGAGG